UACAGAGGGUGCGAGCGUUAAUCGGAAUUACUGGGCGUAAAGCGCGCGUAGGCGGCUUUGCAAGUCGGGUGUGAAAUCCCCAGGCUUAACCUGGGAACUGCAUUCGAGACUGCAUUGCUAGAGUAUGGGAGAGGGAAGUGGAAUUUCCGGUGUAGCGGUGAAAUGCGUAGAUAUCCGAAGGAACAUCAGUGGCGAAAGCGACUUCCUGGACCAAUACUGACGCUCAUGUGCGAAAGCGUGGGGAGCAAACAGG
RNAcentral lists this ribosomal RNA (253 nucleotides) under uncultured bacterium. RNAcentral describes it as "partial 16S ribosomal RNA". It matches the Rfam family "Bacterial small subunit ribosomal RNA", at positions 524 to 776 of the family's 1533-position model. The record is from RNAcentral.